Molecule: ribosomal RNA, 429 nt
Filed under: Verrucomicrobiota bacterium
Lineage: Bacteria; Pseudomonadati; Verrucomicrobiota
Description: Verrucomicrobia bacterium partial 16S ribosomal RNA
Rfam family: Bacterial small subunit ribosomal RNA
Source: RNAcentral
UAGGGAAUCUUCCGCAAUGGACGAAAGUCUGACGGAGCAACGCCGCGUGAGUGAAGAAGGAUUUCGGUUCGUAAAACUCUGUUGUUAGGGAAGAAAAAAUGUAUAGUAACUAUAUACAAAAGAUACGGUACCUAACCAGAAAGCCACGGUUAACUACGUGCCAGCAGCCGCGGUAAUACGUAGGUGGCAAGCGUUGUCCGGAAUUAUUGGGCGUAAAGCGCGCGCAGGUGGUUUAGAAAGUCUGAUGUGAAAGCCCACGGCUCAACCGUGGAGGGUCAUUGGAAACUAAUAAACUUGAGUGCAGGAGAGAAAAGUGGAAUUCCUAGUGUAGCGGUGAAAUGCGUAGAGAUUAGGAGGAACACCGGUGGCGAAAGCGGCUUUUUGGCCUGCAACUGACACUGAGGCGCAAAAGCGUGGGGAGAAAACAGG